RNAcentral lists this long non-coding RNA (450 nucleotides) under Capra hircus (goat). Its description in RNAcentral is "lncRNA (ENSCHIG00000007289.1)". Lineage: Eukaryota; Metazoa; Chordata; Mammalia; Artiodactyla; Bovidae. The record is from RNAcentral.
AAAAGGAAGAAAGCUUGUUUUCCUUAUAGGCUCCAUGAAGUCAACAGGAAAUGGCUCAGUGUAGAUUAACCUCCUUACUGUCCUGAGUAAAAGGCAAGAGUGAUAUCUUCCUGAGUGACUGAAGAGUUAAUCACAACUUAGGUAUUUCUUACUAUGCGUGUCCCCCCACCCCCAGUCCCCAGGAGAUGCUACAUGAAAAUAAAGUGCUGUGGUCCAGUCUGAUUGGAAAUGCUGCAGGCCAGAGCCCCCUCCCUCAUUGCUAUGAGAUUUCGGAGGCAUGCAUGCAGAACUGGAAGUGAGGGAAGAAGAGGAAAGCCACCAGCGUAGUCUCAGCAGUCGUCUAUAAUAUAACAAUCAGCAGAAUACUAGAGGGCAAAGCCAUAUUGAUCUCUUACCCUGGUGAAAAGUAAAAGAUCACUUAGCUGGUCUUCCAAACUUGUAGAAAUGUGG